CUGCUGCCUUCCGUAGGAGUCUGGACCGUGUCUCAGUUCCAGUGUGGCUGGUCAUCCUCUCAGACCAGCUAGGGAUCGUCGCCUAGGUGAGCCGUUACCCCACCUACUAGCUAAUCCCAUCUGGGCACAUCUGAUGGCAAGAGGCCCGAAGGUCCCCCUCUUUGGUCUUGCGACGUUAUGCGGUAUUAGCUACCGUUUCCAGUAGUUAUCCCCCUCCAUCAGGCAGUUUCCCAGACAUUACUCACCCGUCCG
This 252-nucleotide ribosomal RNA is filed under the name uncultured bacterium. Its description in RNAcentral is "partial 16S ribosomal RNA". The record is from RNAcentral.